RNAcentral lists this ribosomal RNA (838 nucleotides) under uncultured bacterium. RNAcentral describes it as "bacterial SSU rRNA". It matches the Rfam family "Bacterial small subunit ribosomal RNA", at positions 52 to 904 of the family's 1533-position model. The record is from RNAcentral.
CACAUGCAGUCGAACGGAGCUUAGAGAGCUUGCUUUUUAAGCUUAGUGGCGAACGGGUGAGUAACGCGUGAGUAACCUGCCCUAGAGUGGGGGACAACAGUUGGAAACGACUGCUAAUACCGCAUAAGCCCACGGUACCGCAUGGUACUGAGGGAAAAGGAUUUAUUCGCUUUAGGAUGGACUCGCGUCCAAUUAGCUAGUUGGUGAGGUAACGGCCCACCAAGGCGACGAUUGGUAGCCGGACUGAGAGGUUGAACGGCCACAUUGGGACUGAGACACGGCCCAGACUCCUACGGGAGGCAGCAGUGGGGGAUAUUGCACAAUGGGGGAAACCCUGAUGCAGGGACGCCGCGUGGAGGAAGAAGGUUUUCGGAUUGUAAACUCCUGUCGUUAGGGACGAUAAUGACGGUACCUAACAAGAAAGCACCGGCUAACUACGUGCCAGCAGCCGCGGUAAAACGUAGGGUGCAAGCGUUGUCCGGAAUUACUGGGUGUAAAGGGAGCGCAGGCGGGAAGACAAGUUGGAAGUGAAAACCAUGGGCUCAACCCAUGAAUUGCUUUCAAAACUGUUUUUCUUGAGUAGUGCAGAGGUAGAUGGAAUUCCCGGUGUAGCGGUGGAAUGCGUAGAUAUCGGGAGGAACACCAGUGGCGAAGGCGGUCUACUGGGCACCAACUGACGCUGAGGCUCGAAAGCAUGGGUAGCAAACAGGAUUAGAUACCCUGGUAGUCCAUGCCGUAACGAUGAUUACUAGGUGUUGGGGGGAUUGACCCCCUCAGUGCCGCAGUUAACACAAUAAGUAAUCCACCUGGGGAGUACGACCGCAAGGUUGAAACUCAA